AGCAUCUGACUUUUAAUCAGAGGGUCGAAGGUUCGAGUCCUUCAUGGCUCACCA
Molecule: transfer RNA, 54 nt
Filed under: Bacillus thuringiensis serovar aizawai str. Leapi01
Lineage: Bacteria; Bacillati; Bacillota; Bacilli; Caryophanales; Bacillaceae
Description: tRNA-Ser
Rfam family: tRNA
About the family: Transfer RNA (tRNA) molecules are approximately 80 nucleotides in length.
Source: RNAcentral